GGUUGCCGUCAAUUGUUAAUUGUUCUAUUUUUCUACCUAAAAUCUGGUUCCAAUCAAAAUAUUCAAGACAUCUUUUCCGUUGCAUUAUGGUUCUAGUUGGUGCAUUUAAAAUAGCUAUUUUUCGAUUAUCCGGGCCGAAAUAUAUUGUUGCUAUGACUAUUUAAUAAUCGUUAGAUAAAUUAUAUGAUGCCCAAAUAAAAUGAUACACCCAACCUA
This is a non-coding RNA of Cinara cedri, 216 nucleotides long. The record is from the annotation of a GenBank genome assembly. NCBI's taxonomy places the organism in Eukaryota, Metazoa, Arthropoda, Insecta, Hemiptera, Aphididae.